RNAcentral lists this ribosomal RNA (253 nucleotides) under uncultured bacterium. RNAcentral's name for it is "partial 16S ribosomal RNA". It matches the Rfam family "Bacterial small subunit ribosomal RNA", at positions 524 to 776 of the family's 1533-position model. The record is from RNAcentral.
UACGGAGGGUGCAAGCGUUGUCCGGAAUCACUGGGCGUAAAGGGCGCGUAGGCGGCUCAUGAAGGCUGUGGUGAAAGUCCGGGGCUCAACCUCGGAUCGGCCGUGGCGACUCGUGGGCUGGAGCACUGUAGAGGCAGACGGAAUUCCGGGUGUAGCGGUGGAAUGCGUAGAGAUCCGGAGGAAGACCGGUGGCGAAGGCGGUCUGCUGGGCAGUUUCUGACACUGAGGCGCGACAGCGUGGGGAGCAAACAGG